AACCCUGUCUUGAAAAACCUUUCAGCUAAGAUCAAGCAUAACAUCUGUUCAUGCCUGUUUAAUACCUGAUACAUCCUCUACCUGAAGAUAAUGUAGUAAAUGGGCUCUUGGAACUGGGGGAUGGAAUAGGAGCCACUUCUGCCCACUCCACAGUUUGGCCUGUCAUAUCAGUGAUUCCAAGAAUAAUGCCCUUCUU
This is a small nuclear RNA of Phodopus roborovskii (desert hamster), 196 nucleotides long. RefSeq annotates it as U2 spliceosomal RNA. The record is from RefSeq and is a predicted model, not a curated record. The transcript has a single exon. Lineage: Eukaryota; Metazoa; Chordata; Mammalia; Rodentia; Cricetidae.